UAGACAUCAUGUCAUUUACAUCAGUUAAGAUUUCACCCGAUGUAAAUUAUUUUUCUAACAUCAGUUCUUGAAAAACCGAUUUCUAUUAAUACAAUUAACAUCGUUUUUUAUUUUCAACCGAUGUCUACAUUUUUUUUCAAAAUUUUGAAAAAACGCGGAAAUAACUAAGUAUAAAAUUUUGGAAGCGCGGAACCAAAAUUUCAUUCCCCCCAAGGCUUAGUCAGUUUUCCCACAACUAUGUUUUCCUACCCUUCGUCAAUUUUCAUUCUCAAAACCUAACCACCGCGACAGCCGUCCAGCAACCAACAUCCUCUUCCUCCUUCUCCGCCUUCGACCGUCCCCCUCCUUCUUCUCUUCCUUGUCCGUCUCUGACCGUUCUCCAGUUUGAAGCCGAAGCCCUCCCAAUCAGCAAGGACGAAAUCCGAAGACACAGACCAUCCUUAUCACCCCCAAAACACAUAUUGCAGUCGCCGUCUCUUCUUUCUCUCUCCAUGGGCCUCUCCAUCUCAGCCCCUCUCUUCGACCAUCGAGGCGUCGACGGCCCUCGCUCUCCUCGUCAGUAACUCGCUUUUGAGCCCUACAAGGUCAGCAAAGUGGAUCUUCUUGCCCAAAGUUGCUCUUUAUGGCUCUUAAUUUGGGGGUGCUCGACACUUGGUGUCUGGAAGCUUAACACAUUGGGGUUCCUUCCUACACAUGCAUCCGAUUGGGUUUCAUCCUUACCCCCUGCUCAGGUUAAGAGCAAGCUUAAAGGUCACUCUAAAAGGAUAACUGGCCUAGCAUUCUCUCAUGUAUUAAAUGUGCUAGUUUCAUCAGCAGCAGAUGCUCAGGCACACCUAAUCAGAUCUUGUUCUUAUGUAGUUUUACUACUAUGAUAGUAGUCCAAAAUCUAAUCAGACGCCCAGAUAUCUUUCCUGCAAAAAAUCUCAUAUGUAUAACCGAGGAAAGAUAAUAUAUUUAACAGGCAUACAAAUUACCAAAACUCGCAGAUUAUUGGGAAAUCUAAGGUCUAUAUACAGUUGUUAUAGGACAAAUGUGCUUUAGUUUCCUAUUCUACAUGCAUUUGUUUACCUAAGGUCUAUAUACACUUGUUCACAGCAUUUCCAGUGCCUCCAUAUUGAAAAUUUAAUUGAGUAGAUUGUGAAAUCUGUAAUUACCAUGAUAAAAUUAUUAUUUCUCAGUUAUCAGGUAUGUUUGUGAGGCAAAACUAACAUGCAGUUUGAUUAUGAUUCCUCCUCUUCUUCAGGUUUGUGUGUGGAAUUCUGAUGGAUGGGAAAAACAGAAAAGCAGAUUCUUGCAGCUUCCAGCUGGGAGAACACCAUCUUCAGUGUCAGAUACUCACGUUCAGUUUCAUCAGGAUCAGGCACAUUUCUUGGUUGUGCAUGAGACUCAGCUGGCCAUAUUUGAAACAACAAAACUAGAGAGUGUAAAGCAGCAGGAUUUAAUACAUCAAGGGCAGAAGGGUAACUAAGGUAAUAGAAAUCCUAGAAUGACAGCAACACAGUACAGGUUUUGCCACAUUCAGCCAAAACCAAGAUUGUAGUUAUAACUUUCCCGCUCUCACCAAAACCGCUUAUUCCUAAGCAAAAGACAGCCUUUUCUUUGCCACGAGUCGCAAUAAGGUUUUGCUAUGUCACUUCCACUCAUAUACAAUCAGAUUUUUUUCUUCUUUUGGUCAAAGCUGUAGAUUUUUGAGAAUUGUUGAUGAGUACUUGGUGGUUCUUCUUCUUCCAAGGCUUUUCUGAACCCAAGUGUUGAGAAAAACAAGAAGGGGCAAGAGACCUAGAAAGGGAGGCAACCGAUUCUGGAAGAGUAUUGGGCUGCGCACCAAGCCCCACAGGGAUGCCUCUUGGGAAAAUCUAAUUAGCAGUCUUGAUGGGAAAAUCUGCAGUUCACUUUUUCAACUACAAACUGAAAGAAGCUUCUUGGGAAAGAGGAAGAAUUGAGAAAGCCUCCGAAGGGGUAUGAAUUCGUUGGGUUAUUGCCAUGGAGAAAAUUUGUAAAACAGAGGAGUAUAGAACAAUGGCUGGUAUGAUGAGUUUGUAUAUGUAUAAGCACUACUACAAAAAUUGAAUCAGACGACACCUCUCAGACGACGCAUCAUAGUUUUCUGUCGUCUGAUUGAUUAUUAUUUUUUUGUACGUCGCUUUUAUAAAACCUGUCGUCUGAUAUGGUAUAAUGAACUAGUUCAGAAGACGUUUAAGGAUAAAACUGUUGUAUGACCCUAAAAUAAUUGAGCGGCAA
This is a long non-coding RNA of Rosa rugosa (rugosa rose), 2241 nucleotides long. RefSeq lists it as uncharacterized. The record is from RefSeq and is a predicted model, not a curated record. The transcript has 7 exons. NCBI's taxonomy places the organism in Eukaryota, Viridiplantae, Streptophyta, Magnoliopsida, Rosales, Rosaceae.